This 266-nucleotide ribosomal RNA is filed under the name uncultured bacterium. RNAcentral's name for it is "partial 16S ribosomal RNA". It matches the Rfam family "Bacterial small subunit ribosomal RNA", at positions 793 to 1055 of the family's 1533-position model. The record is from RNAcentral.
GUCCACGCCGUAAACUAUGAGUGCUAGUUGUUGGGGGGUUAACCCUUCAGUGACGUAGCUAACGCGUUAAGCACUCCGCCUGGGGAGUACGGUCGCAAGAUUAAAACUCAAAGGAAUUGACGGGGGCCCGCACAAGCGGUGGAGCAUGUGGUUCAAUUCGAAGCAACGCGAAGAACCUUACCGGCCCUUGACAUGGGUGUCGCGAGUCCCAGAGACGGGACUCUUCAGUUCGGCUGGACACCACACAGGUGCUGCAUGGCUGUCGU